This 467-nucleotide ribosomal RNA is filed under the name uncultured bacterium. RNAcentral describes it as "partial 16S ribosomal RNA". It matches the Rfam family "Bacterial small subunit ribosomal RNA", at positions 28 to 507 of the family's 1533-position model. The record is from RNAcentral.
GACGAACGCUGGCGGCGUGCUUAACACAUGCAAGUCGAACGGAAAGGCCCUGCUUUUGUGGGGUGCUCGAGUGGCGAACGGGUGAGUAACACGUGAGUAACCUGCCCUUGACUUUGGGAUAACUUCAGGAAACUGGGGCUAAUACCGGAUAGGAGCUCCUGCUGCAUGGUGGGGGUUGGAAAGUUUCGGCGGUUGGGGAUGGACUCGCGGCUUAUCAGCUUGUUGGUGGGGUAGUGGCUUACCAGGGCUUUGACGGGUAGCCGGCCUGAGAGGGUGACCGGCCACAUUGGAACGGAGUAGGGGCCCGAACUCCGAGGGGGGGCAGCAGGGGGGAAAGUUUGACAAGGGGGGGAAGCCGGAGGCAGGAAGGCCGGGGGGGGGAGAACGGCUUUCGGGUGUGAAGCCGGUUUGCCUUGUGAGGAGGGGGGGGGACGGGAAAUGGGUAAAAAGGCCCGGGUAAAUACGUG